This 397-nucleotide unclassified non-coding RNA is filed under the name Hevea brasiliensis (rubber tree). The record is from RNAcentral. Lineage: Eukaryota; Viridiplantae; Streptophyta; Magnoliopsida; Malpighiales; Euphorbiaceae.
AAAGCAGGUCAGAAUUUCUCACAUGAUCAUGGAAGGCAGCAGUUUGUGGACCAUCAUGUCAUGCCUAGAGAGGUCGCCCGUAAUCUGCAUUUUCUUACUGAGAAAGAAUACAGAAACUAUGGUCUUCAACAGGCAAAACAUGUGCAGCCCUGUACUUCUGCAGUACACGUGACCCACAAUUUGGAUCAUUGUGGAUCAGAACAAGGAAUACAGCAGCUACUGCGGGCCCCUGCUGGUGCGAGAAGCGAUGCAGCUUUUGCACGGAAUGAACAUGUUCACUCUGAUGCUCGUUUUCCAAAUGAAAGGGAAUACCGUAGUUACGGCCUCAAUAGUCUCCAUGGGCAACCUGGUACUGUUACCCCUGCUGCAGAAAGUAGAAAUAGAAUGUCUGCAGCUG